UGGGGAAUAUUGGACAAUGGGGGAAACCCUGAUCCAGCAAUGCCGCGUGAGUGAAGAAGGCCCUAGGGUUGUAAAACUCUUUCACCCGUGAAGAUGAUGACGGUAGCGGGAGAAGAAGCUCCGGCUAACUCCGUGCCAGCAGCCGCGGUAAUACGGAGGGGGCAAGCGUUGCUCGGAAUUACUGGGCGUAAAGCGCGCGUAGGCGGUGCACCUAGUCAGGCGUGAAAGCCCCGGGCUUAACCCGGGAACUGCGUUUGAUACUGGUGCGCUAGAAUCCGAGAGAGGGCAGUGGAAUUCCCAGUGUAGAGGUGAAAUUCGUAGAUAUUGGGAAGAACACCAGAGGCGAAGGCGGCUGCCUGGCUCGGUAUUGACGCUGAGGUGCGAAAGCGUGGGGAGCGAACAGG
RNAcentral lists this ribosomal RNA (404 nucleotides) under uncultured bacterium. RNAcentral describes it as "bacterial SSU rRNA". It matches the Rfam family "Bacterial small subunit ribosomal RNA", at positions 355 to 776 of the family's 1533-position model. The record is from RNAcentral.